AGUCGUAACAAGGUCUCCGUUGGUGAACCAGCGGAGGGAUCAUUACAGAGUGUAAAAACUCCCAAACCCCUGUGAACUUACCAGUCGUUGCUUCGGCGGGAUCGCCCCGGGCGCCAUCGCGUGCCCCGGAACCAGGCGCCCGCCGGGGGACUCAAACUCUUGUUUUACUUUAGUGGUAUUCUCUGAGUGGCUAUAUGCAAACAAAUGAAUCAAAACUUUCAACAACGGAUCUCUUGGUUCUGGCAUCGAUGAAGAACGCAGCGAAAUGCGAUAAGUAAUGUGAAUUGCAGAAUUCAGUGAAUCAUCGAAUCUUUGAACGCACAUUGCGCCCGCUAGUAUUCUGGCGGGCAUGCCUGUCUGAGCGUCAUUUCACCAAUCCCCCUGGGCUUCUUGUCCCGGGGGCUGUUGGGGAUCGCCGAGCGUCCACUCGGCGUCCCCUAAACCUAGUGGCAGCCUCGCCGCGGCCUCCCCUGCGUAGUAAAACACUCUCGCAGGCGGAACCACAGCGAAGGGUCGCCGUAAAACCCCCAACUUCUUAAUGGUUGACCUCAGAUCAGGUAGGAAUACCCGCUGAACUUAAGCAUAUCAAUAAGCGGAGGA
RNAcentral lists this unclassified non-coding RNA (600 nucleotides) under Protocreopsis rutila. RNAcentral describes it as "Acremonium rutilum sequence contains 18S rRNA gene, ITS1, 5.8S rRNA gene, ITS2, 28S rRNA gene". The stretch from base 214 to 367 matches the Rfam family "5.8S ribosomal RNA". The record is from RNAcentral. Lineage: Eukaryota; Fungi; Ascomycota; Sordariomycetes; Hypocreales; Bionectriaceae.